CCUACGGGUGGCAGCAGUGGGGAAUAUUGCGCAAUGGGCGAAAGCCUGACGCAGCGACGCCGCGUGAGGGAUGAAGGUCUUCGGAUCGUAAACCUCUGUCAGCAGGGAAGAACGGUCACUGUGCUAAUCAGCAGUGAAUUGACGGUACCUGCAAAGGAAGCACCGGCUAACUCCGUGCCAGCAGCCGCGGUAAUACGGAGGGUGCGAGCGUUAAUCGGAAUUACUGGGCGUAAAGCGCUCGUAGGCGGUAUGUCAAGUCAAGGGUGAAAUCCCCGCGCUCAACGUGGGAACGGCCUUUGAAACUGGGAAACGGGAGUGUAUGAGGGGAUAGUGGAAUUCCAGGUGUAGGAGUGAAAUCCGUAGAUAUCUGGAGGAACAUCAGUGGUGAAGGCGACUAUCUGGCACAUAACUGACGCUGAGGAGCGAAAGCGUGGGUAGCAAACAGGAUUAGAUACCCCAGUAGUC
This 465-nucleotide ribosomal RNA is filed under the name uncultured bacterium. RNAcentral describes it as "partial 16S ribosomal RNA". It matches the Rfam family "Bacterial small subunit ribosomal RNA", at positions 338 to 795 of the family's 1533-position model. The record is from RNAcentral.